UACGAAGGGUGCGAGCGUUACUCGGAAUUACUGGGCGUAAAGCGUGCGUAGGUGGUUCGUUAAGUCUGAUGUGAAAGCCCUGGGCUCAACCUAGGAAUGGCAUUGGAAACUGGCGACCUAGAGUGCGGUAGAGGGUAGUGGAAUUCCCGGUGUAGCAGUGAAAUGCGCAGAUAUCGGGAGGAACACCAGUAGCGAAGGCGGCACUCUGGGCCGGUACUGACGCUGAGGAGCGAAAGCGUGGGGAGCAAACAGG
This 253-nucleotide ribosomal RNA is filed under the name uncultured bacterium. RNAcentral describes it as "partial 16S ribosomal RNA". It matches the Rfam family "Bacterial small subunit ribosomal RNA", at positions 524 to 776 of the family's 1533-position model. The record is from RNAcentral.